RNAcentral lists this transfer RNA (76 nucleotides) under Dictyocaulus viviparus (bovine lungworm). It matches the Rfam family "tRNA". From Rfam's summary of the family: Transfer RNA (tRNA) molecules are approximately 80 nucleotides in length. Lineage: Eukaryota; Metazoa; Nematoda; Chromadorea; Rhabditida; Metastrongylidae. The record is from Rfam by way of RNAcentral.
GCCUCGGUACUGUAAUGGAUCAGCUCGGCAGACCGGAUGAUAUCUGUAAGUGCGGGUUCGAGUCCCGCCUGAGGUU